Molecule: ribosomal RNA, 293 nt
Filed under: uncultured bacterium
Lineage: Bacteria
Description: partial 16S ribosomal RNA
Rfam family: Bacterial small subunit ribosomal RNA
Source: RNAcentral
GGAUUAGAUACCCUGGUAGUCCACGCCGUAAACGAUGUCGACUAGCCGUUGGGCUCCUUGAGAGCUUUGUGGCGCAGUUAACGCGAUAAGUCGACCGCCUGGGGAGUACGGCCGCAAGGUUAAAACUCAAAUGAAUUGACGGGGGCCCGCACAAGCGGUGGAGCAUGUGGUUUAAUUCGAUGCAACGCGAAGAACCUUACCUACCCUUGACAUCGAGAGAACUUUCCAGAGAUGGAUUGGUGCCUUCGGGAACUCUCAGACAGGUGCUGCAUGGCUGUCGUCAGCUCGUGCUG